Molecule: ribosomal RNA, 447 nt
Filed under: uncultured bacterium
Lineage: Bacteria
Description: bacterial SSU rRNA
Rfam family: Bacterial small subunit ribosomal RNA
Source: RNAcentral
CGCCAGACUCCUACGGGAGGCAGCAGUGGGGAAUAUUGCACAAUGGGGGAAACCCUGAUGCAGCGACGCCGCGUGAGCGAUGAAGUAUUUCGGUAUGUAAAGCUCUAUCAGCAGGGAAGAAGAUGACGGUACCUGACUAAGAAGCCCCGGCUAACUACGUGCCAGCAGCCGCGGUAAUACGUAGGGGGCAAGCGUUAUCCGGAUUUACUGGGUGUAAAGGGAGCGUAGACGGCGAUGCAAGCCAGAUGUGAAAGCCCGGGGCUCAACCCCGGGACUGCAUUUGGAACUGGGUGGCUGGAGUGUCGGAGAGGCAGGCGGAAUUCCUAGUGUAGCGGUGAAAUGCGUAGAUAUUAGGAGGAACACCAGUGGCGAAGGCGGCCUGCUGGACGAUGACUGACGUUGAGGCUCGAAAGCGUGGGGAGCAAACAGGAUUAGAUACCCGUGUAA